RNAcentral lists this ribosomal RNA (738 nucleotides) under Theba sp. 1a CG-2011. RNAcentral describes it as "partial 16S ribosomal RNA". The record is from RNAcentral. Lineage: Eukaryota; Metazoa; Mollusca; Gastropoda; Stylommatophora; Helicidae.
UAUUGUUAUAGACAUUUAAUAUUACGUGACAUAGUAAUUGGUAAAUAUAUUUUUAGGGGUGAUAGGCCUUUUAAAUUUAUUGAUAGCUUGAUACGUAAUAAAAUUAUUAAGUACAAAGUCAUACUAUGAAAGUUAAGUUUUAUAGUGGUAAUUAAUUUAGGGAAAAUAAUAUAUUAUAGUUUAAUAGCUAAUUAAUAGUAAUAUAAAUAUUUUUUUCUUAAUUUUAUUUAAUACAUUACGUUAUUUUUACUUGAGUAUAUAUUAAUAAUGUUAAUAUAAGUAAUAUUUAUAAAUAAAUUAAAGGAACUCGGCAAUUACAUUUUUCAACUGUUUAUCAAAAACAUAACUAUAUGGUCUUGUAUAUAGCUGUUCCUGCUCAAUGAUUUUAAAUAGCCGCAGUACCCUGACUGUGCAAAGGUAGCAUAAUCAGUUGGCUUUUAAUUGGAGUCUAGAAUGAAUGGAUUUUUGGAAAAUAACUUUCUCUUUUUUAUUUUUGUGAAAUUAGUUUGUAAGUGAAAAUACUUACGUAUAUAUAAAGGACGAGAAGACCCUAGAAAUUUAAAUAUUAUUUUGUUGGGGCGACAGAAUUACAAAAAACUAAUUUGAUUUACGUGACGUUUUUACAGAUCGAUUAAAUUACUCUAGGGAUAACAGCAUAAUUUUUAUAGUUUGUGACCUCGAUGUUGGACUAGGAUAUUAAACGGUUUAGAAGAUCUUUAAUAAUGCUCUGUUCGAGCU